UGGCGUAAGAGUCAAACUCAAACAGUGGUGAAUCAAUCAGGCAUACAAAACUAACUUUAAUGCUUCCAUGUAUUUACAAACGGCUGACACGAAAGAGUAUAGCUUCAUCAAUAUGCUAACUGAUCCGAAUUUAGCUACGCGGUGAACAAAACAUUGGUUUUCAGAGUCAGCAGAAAAUUAUGUUGCUGAGGAAAAUUACAUCCAUAGUCCAUACUUUUGCUUUAUCAUGAAAACAACAUAUAAGAAAACAAAAGGUAAAUAGAACACCAUGUAUCAACUUUCAUCACUUUGAAAUUUGUUAGUCAAUUUUGACCUUUUUUCACAUUUGGGGACAGUGAUUGAGACCGAAGAGAUACCAUCCACCAAAAGGCAGUGGAUCUCAGCACUAAAAAAACUAGCUGCAAUAAAGUCUUAAUCACACAUCCAUGCAACAAAAUCUAGAAACAAAAACCCCACGGGCCACGGGUAAAGGACAGCGACGGCACAACAAAAUCCUAUUACCAAUCUCCAAAUCACCCUCUUUUUUUCCUUAACCAAUUUCAUCGUAGCAACUACACCAAUACACCAUAUAACAAUGAUCGAAAGAAAAUAGCUAGAAACAGUAACAAUCAUCACUUAACUAAGCAUCGAUGGGGGCAGACAUUAUAAUCCUUUCCUACCCCCCACUCUCUCACUCUACUAGUUUCACUAUUACUCAUCACUCUCAAACACGAAUUCGCGGGGGN
RNAcentral lists this long non-coding RNA (725 nucleotides) under Oryza brachyantha (malo sina). RNAcentral's name for it is "long non-coding RNA (OBRA_LNC000301)". The record is from RNAcentral. Lineage: Eukaryota; Viridiplantae; Streptophyta; Magnoliopsida; Poales; Poaceae.